GAUGAAGAACGCAGCGAAAUGCGAUAAGUAAUGUGAAUUUCAGAAUUCAGUGAAUCAUCGAAUCUUUGAACGCACAUUGCGCCCCCUGGUAUUCCGGGGGCAUGCCUGUCCGAGCGUCAUUACAUCCCUCAAGCUCAGCUUGGUAUUGGGCCCCGCCGACCCGGCGGGCCCUAAAGUCAGUGGCGGUGCCGUCCGGCUCCGAGCGUAGUAAUUCUUCUCGCUCUGGAGGUCCGGUCGUGUGCUCGCCAGCAACCCCCAAUUUUUUUCAGGUUGACCUCGGAUCAGGUAGGGAUACCCGCUGAACUUAAGCAUAUCAAUAAGCGGAGGA
This 328-nucleotide unclassified non-coding RNA is filed under the name soil metagenome. RNAcentral describes it as "partial contains 5.8S ribosomal RNA, internal transcribed spacer 2, and large subunit ribosomal RNA". The stretch from base 1 to 119 matches the Rfam family "5.8S ribosomal RNA", at positions 35 to 154 of the family's 154-position model. The record is from RNAcentral.